UUUUCAUAAAUUUUUUUGUAAUAUGUGUUGACAAAAAGUGAAAACCCGUAAACAAUAGUAAUUAGUAAUAUUACUUGUUUUCUUUUAAGCAUCCUCAUUGAAGGUCAAACAAAUGACAGAAAGGGAAAGAGAGAUGAAGAAACAUACAGAUUUAUCGAUUUAAGUCAAUCAAUAAGAAGAAAUUAAACUGAUUGAAGUUAAUAAGUUUAUUGCAUCAUCCUAAGGCUGCGUCUGUGGAACGUGACUUUCAAUCAGGCCCCUCUCAACACCUUGCAACAACAAGGACCAACAACAACCCUCUCACAAAACUUGUUCCACAGCAAAAUUAAUUAAUAAAGCGACUUUGAAAUACU
This is a long non-coding RNA of Drosophila willistoni, 353 nucleotides long. RefSeq lists it as uncharacterized. The record is from RefSeq and is a predicted model, not a curated record. The transcript has 2 exons. NCBI's taxonomy places the organism in Eukaryota, Metazoa, Arthropoda, Insecta, Diptera, Drosophilidae.